GAAUGAAUGUCUGAGCGGUUCAAAGAGUCGGUCUUAAAAACCGAAGUAUUCAUAGAAAUACUGGGGUUCAAAUCCCUCUCCAUCCG
Molecule: transfer RNA, 86 nt
Organism: Nicotiana attenuata
Lineage: Eukaryota; Viridiplantae; Streptophyta; Magnoliopsida; Solanales; Solanaceae
Rfam family: tRNA
About the family: Transfer RNA (tRNA) molecules are approximately 80 nucleotides in length. Their secondary structure includes four short double-helical elements and three loops (D, anti-codon, and T loops).
Source: Rfam